RNAcentral lists this ribosomal RNA (304 nucleotides) under uncultured bacterium. RNAcentral describes it as "bacterial SSU rRNA". It matches the Rfam family "Bacterial small subunit ribosomal RNA", at positions 28 to 334 of the family's 1533-position model. The record is from RNAcentral.
GAUGAACGCUGGCGGCGUGCUUAACACAUGCAAGUCGAGCGAUGAAGUUUCCUUCGGGAAACGGAUUAGCGGCGGACGGGUGAGUAAUGUAUGGGGAUCUGCCCGAUAGAGGGGGAUAACUACUGGAAACGGUAGCUAAUACCGCAUGACGUCUACGGACCAAAGCAGGGGCUCUUCGGACCUUGCGCUAUCGGAUGAACCCAUAUGGGAUUAGCUAGUAGGUGAGGUAAUGGCUCACCUAGGCGACGAUCUCUAGCUGGUCUGAGAGGAUGAUCAGCCACACUGGGACUGAGACACGGCCCAG